This 107-nucleotide small RNA is filed under the name Marmota monax (woodchuck). Lineage: Eukaryota; Metazoa; Chordata; Mammalia; Rodentia; Sciuridae. The record is from RNAcentral.
GCCAGGUGUGGAGGUGCACGCCUCUAAUCCCAGCAACUUGGGAGGCUGAGGCAGGGGGAUCACAAGUGUGAGGCCAGCCUCAGCAAAUUAGCAAGACCCUGUCUCAA